CCUACGGGUGGCAGCAGUGGGGAAUAUUGGGCAAUGGGCGCAAGCCUGACCCAGCAACGCCGCGUGAAGGAAGAAGGCUUUCGGGUUGUAAACUUCUUUUGUCAGGGAAGAGUAGAAGACGGUACCUGACGAAUAAGCCACGGCUAACUACGUGCCAGUAGCCGCGGUAAUACGUAGGUGGCAAGCGUUGUCCGGAGUUACUGGGUGUAAAGGGCGUGUAGCCGGGUUGACAAGUCAGAUGUGAAAUCCUGCGGCUUAACCGCAGAACUGCAUUUGAAACUGUUGAUCUUGAGUACUGGAGAGGCAGACGGAAUUCCUAGUGGAGCGGUGAAAUGCGUAGAUAUUAGGAGGAACAGCAGUGGCGAAGGCGGUCUGCUGGACAGCAACUGACGGUGAGGCGCGAAAGCGUGGGGAGCAAACAGGAUUAGAUACCCUUGUAGUC
This 442-nucleotide ribosomal RNA is filed under the name uncultured bacterium. RNAcentral's name for it is "partial 16S ribosomal RNA". It matches the Rfam family "Bacterial small subunit ribosomal RNA", at positions 338 to 795 of the family's 1533-position model. The record is from RNAcentral.